UGGAUGCUUAAGGUUUUUCUUUGUUUCUCCUAUCUAUGGUGAUAACUGUACAAAAGCAUCCUACAGUAAUACAGAAGCUAUCUGUUUAACCCUGGCAAGUUAAGAGGGGUUAGAUCGUUCCACUUCUGACAGUC
This is a non-coding RNA of Chelydra serpentina (North American snapping turtle), 134 nucleotides long. Lineage: Eukaryota; Metazoa; Chordata; Testudines; Chelydridae. The record is from Ensembl.